Molecule: long non-coding RNA, 837 nt
Organism: Carya illinoinensis
Lineage: Eukaryota; Viridiplantae; Streptophyta; Magnoliopsida; Fagales; Juglandaceae
Exons: 2
Source: RefSeq, a predicted model, not a curated record
ACCUGCUCUCCCCCUCAUCAAAUCUCCAAUUGUUGCUCCCCUCAAGGAUCAAGAGAGCUGUGGCCAUCGAUGAGAGAAAAUGUACUGCUGUUUGGUGAAGCCUGGCCACCCUUCAUGCUGCCACUGCUUCUCAGUUUUAGGCUCAGAGAGGAGGAAAAAGAAAUUUGAGAUGGUUCUCUAGUAAAACCUCGGCUGAGAAUUGAUUUGGAGAGCUUCAUGGAAGAAGAGGAGAGGCGCGAGGUGAAACAAAUGAAGAUCUUGCUAGUGCUACUGUCGUUUGUGCUUGUCGUGCGAUAGGCUCUCUCUCUCUCUCUCUCUCUCUCUCUUGAUAUUUGUUCAAUUUUCGUGAGCCACUGACUUUGGAAAAUGUGAGACGUUGAGUUAGGAUAGUCAAUAUAAACUGGAGAGUAUUGGGUGGAGAAGAUCUUUGUGUGUGGGUGAUAUGUUUUGGAGCCAUGGUCAUAGAGGUACAGAUUGCAGAGGGAACAAGGGUGACGAAAUGCCCUUGGAACUUUGCAAAAUUUAACCCAGUGAUCGCAGGGGGAGAAGAAUGGCUUCGGUGGGAGAAGAAGACUUUUGGGUAGAAGAGGAAAGAGAGUAGGGGGAAGGGAAAAGGGAGAGGGGGUUUAAUUGGAUGCACACCCACCGUAGUACCAUAAGUCUACUAUGUGUUGGGUUUUUACUGCUAGGUAUAAAUGAGAAAUACGCACCCGAAUGCUUUGAAGGUUUUCCCUUUUCUUAUUGGUCCCAACUAUCAUGACGACUAGAAAACUACUUUUGGUGUUUGAUAAUUAUGCAAAUACUAAUCAGAAUGCAUCUUGAUAUUUAUGAAAUAGA